This 253-nucleotide ribosomal RNA is filed under the name uncultured bacterium. Its description in RNAcentral is "partial 16S ribosomal RNA". It matches the Rfam family "Bacterial small subunit ribosomal RNA", at positions 524 to 776 of the family's 1533-position model. The record is from RNAcentral.
UACGUAGGGCGCGAGCGUUGUCCGGAUUUAUUGGGCGUAAAGAGCUCGUAGGCGGCUUGUUGCGUCGACUGUGAAAACCCGCGGCUUAACCGCGGGCUUGCAGUUGAUACUGGCAGGCUAGAGUUCGGUAGGGGAGACUGGAAUUCCUGGUGUAGCGGUGAAAUGCGCAGAUAUCAGGAGGAACACCGGUGGCGAAGGCGGGUCUCUGGGCCGAUACUGACGCUGAGGAGCGAAAGCGUGGGGAGCGAACAGG